AGGACGAACGCUGGCGGCGUGCUUAACACAUGCAAGUCGAGCGGAAAGGCCCUGCUUUUGUGGGGUGCUCGAGUGGCGAACGGGUGAGUAACACGUGAGUAACCUGCCCUUGACUUUGGGAUAACUUCAGGAAACUGGGGCUAAUACCGGAUAGGAGCUCCUGCUGCAGUGGUGGGGGUUGGAAAGUUUCGGCGGUUGGGGAUGGACUCGCGGUCUUAUCGAGCUUGUUGGUCGGGUAGUGGCUUACCGAAGGCUUUGACGGGUA
This 265-nucleotide ribosomal RNA is filed under the name uncultured soil bacterium. RNAcentral describes it as "partial 16S ribosomal RNA". It matches the Rfam family "Bacterial small subunit ribosomal RNA", at positions 26 to 285 of the family's 1533-position model. The record is from RNAcentral.